UCAAACCAUUUCAAGAACUUCAAUUGAACAAAUUCAUCGUUCAUCAAGGUAUACCAUUUCAUGCAUACACGGUUACUGACUCACUGUAGCUUAACUUAGACACUAACAAUAUUUGAUCACAUGAACUUAGCAUAACACAUUUGAAUAUAUAUAUAUAAAUAUACCAUAAUAGAUUACUAAAUUAUAUCCAAAAUGAACCAUCACUAGCCAUUCCAAUGGCUAGGUUACAAAAUGAUAUUUCAAGCCACUACUAGCCAAAUUUCCCUAUACAUGCCAUUACACCAAAAUGAUUUCACUAAAUAUACCCAAAAUGCUAGUUGAUAGUGUGACAAUGCUCCAAUGACCUUCCAACCUUCACAAGCUUCCAAGCACUAUAAAAUAGGGGAAAAAUAAAAAGAGUAAGCAUUAGAUGCUUAGUAAGUUCGUACAACAGAAACUAAACUUGCCAAUCUUGUUUAUUAAAAUCUAGGCAUACAAUGUUAUGUUUCCAUCCAUUUGGCUAAAUGGCCUAAUCACAUACAUUUCAUCAAUCACGUUAGUCACCAACUAUUCAUAAAAAUCAAGUAACAUACAUGAGCUCAUCAAGCAAUGUUCUUUCAAGUUAUUAUCAUUUAUCUCGAGAUUUUCAUGUCAAGUUAAGAGUUAUAUGUCCUUUGAAUCAUUAAAAUCCUGAUGAAGGCUCAAAUAGUACACUCGAGGUGUACGAUUCAAUAAUCCAUUAAUUCUUAUCAAAGGUAACCCUUAAGAUACUUAACCAAGGAACACACUCUCGAGCUACAUGUCAUAUGAUAGGAUUACCAGUCCAGACUAAAUCCUUUAUAUAGCGAAUGCUCAAAAAGCUUGAUUAGAAUUACCAGUCCAGGCUAAAUCCUAAUUUUAACGCAUACUCAAGAGGCAUUGUAUUAGGAUUACCCGUUAAGGCUAAAUCCUUUAUAUAAUAAGGUCAUUGGAAUUACUCGUCCAAGCUAAAUCCCGUCCGCAACAAAUGUAGGACCUCAUUAAUUUCGAGAAAGCAUAUACAAUCAUCGGAAUUCAAUGUUUAAUUGGGACUUAACCCCUUUAUCAUCAUUUUAAAUACGUAUAAAUUUUCCAUCAUAACUUAAAAGUGGGGCACAUUAACAUAAAUCACAUUACAUACAAUACAACAUUCAAUUUACAUAAUCAAAUAUCGGUUAAGUUACAUGAACUUACCUUGACACUUGUUCGCGUAAUAAUCUACUAAUCCGAAAUCUUUUCCUUUCCUCGAUCUAACCUCAAGUUUGUGUUUUCUGGAUCUAUAUAAAUGAAUUUAAUCGUAAAUUUCAUACAUUUCACAAUUAGACGAACUCAAUUUUAGGCCCGAAAAAUGAAACUUGUAGAAACUACUCCCUAUUCCAAGCUUAACCAAAGCCCCAUUACAAAUUUCCAGCACAUGUUUACAUAAAAUUUUAGAAUUUUUCAUCAAUUUUUACAAGUUUACAUUUUAGUCCCUAAAUCAAGUUUUCAUCAAAAAUCACUUUGUAAAAGUUUUUUAUCUAUAAAUAAUCUUUCAUUUUCUACCAUAAAUUUCUAAUUUCCAGCAUAAUACAUCCAUGACCCAUUUUCAUACCUUGAUAAUUUUUCAAAUUAAUCCCUCAAAUAGAGAGAUUAAGCUAUCUCGGUUCUAAAGACACCAAAAUUACUAAAAAUGAGACAAAUAAACUUACCCAAUUAGCCUUUGAAACCUUUUGUUCUCUCUCCUAGGGUUUUCAUGUGUUUUUAGGUUGAAGAUGAUGAAAAUAAGAUGAUAUAAUUCCUUUCCAUCUUUUAAUUAAUCAUGUAUUUUGGUAUUUCCAAUUUAGUCCCUUAUCUAUUUCUAUAAUUCCAUGGAUGAGUCACCAUAAAAAUCUACAUACCUUUAUUAAUGGUCUAAUUACCAUAUAAGAACCUUAACUUUUAAAUUCCAUAACUAUUUGAUCCUUAUAGCUACUAAAAUUCAACUUUCACAUUUUAUACGAUUUAGUCCUCGUAAUUAGGCACUAAUUCGAUAAAAUUUUCAUAUCAAAAUUUUCACACGUUAUUUCUAUCAUAUUAUGGGCCAUAUGGUAAAAAAAAUAAAUAUAUUUUGAAUCAUAUUUGUGGUCUUGAAACAACUGUUCCGAUUUCACUGAAAAAUGAGCUGUUACAAUUUGAAGUUAGUUAUUUGAUUUUAAUAUUGCAUACGUGAUUAUUCCUCUACAAAUUAUUAUUCUAUUUUGCCACAGCCUGAUUCAUAUAGUUUAUAGUAAUAGCUUAAUCGAAUUAAUCCUAUUUUAUCCUUGAGGAGAUGAUCUUACUUACUAUUUUAUUACUUUAUUCGACGUGUAUACUUGCACAUUCGCAUAUUAUAUUCACACGCAACGCCUGCUUUCCAAUUAAUUCCUUAGUAAUGUGCUAAUAAUAGGUGAAAAAUAUAGCAAACAAUUUAAUCUGUGUGGCAAAAGACAUUUGUACAAAUGUGUCCAUUUAUAGCUUAACUUAUACUUAAACCAAAUGGUUUGGCCAUUACUCUAGCUUUUCUAGCUCCAACUACAGUUAUGAAGGUGGUGGCUUGCCAAAAAUCUUUUCUUUUUUUAUGCUAUUUUCCUCUUCUACUUGUUUCAUUUAUAAUCACUUUAUUUGUUCAUGAAUAGUUUCUUUUUAAAACUCCAAGAAGUUAAGAAAUAUCAAUUUCAACAGGGAUUUUACUGGAACGUAGUCAUUGUAAUAGAGUAUUAAUGUUAAGUUGUUUAAUUUGCAUUUUUAAAAUCGAUUCUUCAAUUGUGAUUUACCUAGUAAACUUUUUCAUUUAUUGAUUAUCUGACUACUUGGAAAUGUGUUGUGAAUAAUAAUAUGAGUAUAGGGUUUCACAUAUCGAGUUUUCUAACUUGUUAAGCGAGAAUUUUCCAAGAGGAUCUGUUGGUUUCUGUUUAAGGUUUCUUUACGUGUAAGGUUCCUUUUAAAGUCUUUGCCUACAAUGUUCAAUUACUUUUUAUGUUAUUUUCACUGACAGGAACUUGUUGAAAUUCGAGUACUUCUUUUUUUUUUGGUGUUUUCGAUUGAAAAACAACAUCACAAAGAUUUGUUGGCUCCUGAAAGUAACUCAGCUAGUGAUUUAUAGUAUCUUUAUGCUACAUUGUAUAGGUUUCGAGUCAAAGUGGAAUGGACUGUGAAGGGCUUGAAACUUAUUAAAUGUGUUAAAUCUUUAAAUAUAAAUAAAAUACAUUACAUUAAAUCUAUAUUAUUUGUUUUUACGUUUACAUGAGAUCCUUUUAUUAUACAUGUCUAACGGCACAAAAACAAUUUGUAAUUAAUGAAAAUAUGUCAAAAAAAAAUAUAUACAAUAUAACAAUUUCAUCAUUUCUUUUGCUACAUUUCAACAUCUGUCUCUAAGUAAAAAUAUUUGAGACAAGAGAAAAACAUGUAUUUUCCAUUUUUUUAAAUUAUUCUUUAAGUAAUAUAUAUUAUGACAUAUAAAUUAAUGACAUCAUGUAACUUUUUCUUAAUGUAUGAACAUUAUGUUUGGAUGUAAAAUAUAAUUCUCAAGCUAUUUAUUACUUCUAAUCUUUUGUUUUUUUAGAGGAUAAUUAAAUUAUUUAUUUCACUAAUGAUAUUUUAACACAUCUUUAAAAAAAUAUGAUUAAAUUAUUUAUUUUUAUUAAAUUAUGUUUAAUAAUAAUCCUAUUAAAAUUUAAUAACAAUAACAAUAACAAUAAUAAUCUAUUUAAAAAAUUUCUACUCAGGGUACUCUAGUCAUUUCAACUUUUUUUCUUAUGCUAUUACAGCUCUAUUCGAUUCAAACGUAUACAAGAAUGCUAUUACAGUUUUAUUUCAUUCCAUUUAAUCAAACAAUUGAAUUACUGAUUACAACUUUAUUCCAUAACAGCUUUAUUUCAUUAUGGUAAACCAAACAUGAUGUAAUAGUAUUUUAUUUUUUAUGUUAACAUUAAAUUUACAUUAUUUUUUAUUUCUUUUAAAAACAUUGAUAAACACUAUUAAUUUGUGUAUGGCGAGUAUGCAAAUAUACAUAUACAAAAAAACAAAAUAGGAAAAUUGACUUUGUUGGCAUUGUUUUUUUGAUGACAUUUGGCAAAUCAAUUAAUCCUCACAUCAAUUGGUAAAUUCUUGCAUUGAUUUUAGUGUAAUUACAAUCCAACUUUAUUACCGGUCAUCUCCUCAUUCAUCUCAUUUUCUAGAUGGUUAAUUACAGGAAAAAAAUAGUUUGAUUGUGUAUUGAUUUAAUUUUGAAUAUAUAUUAUGGAAAUUGUUUUUUGAAAAAUUCUCCUAUCCUCAUUCAUCUCAUACAAUAUUUUUUUUUUCAAUUCAUUUGAUUUUUUACUAAACAUAUGCAUUGAAUUUUUUCAAAUCAGAACUUUAUAUUUUCUUUAAUUUUAGCUUUCCUAAAAUUUGCACUAUAUAAAAAAUUAUAUUAAAAUUUAUCUUAAUUUCAUAAUUAUUCUUUUACUUAUAUAAUUAUAUAAAAUAGUUGAUUAUUAAAAUUACAAACUAAAAAAUAUAAUUUCAUAAAAAUAAAAAAAAAUUAAAUAAAAUAUAAAUAUAACAUUUAUUUUUUAUCCAACCUAUCGGGCUAGAAAUAAGGAAAAACAGGUAACCUUACUUUUUUUAUUUUCUUUAUUUUAUAUAUGAUAGCAUACAUACACAUCAUAUCAUAACAUAUCAUAUAUAUAUAUAAUAAAAUAGAAUUUUGAAAUAACUUUAUUGUAUGGUUCAAAUUUAAAACAAUCAUAUUACAUUUUUCUUUGUCUUUUGACACGCUUUCUCUAUGUCUUUUGACAUGCCUUUUGCUAUUGCUAGCACUAUUCUUCUUUUCUGUUCUAUUUGUCAAUUUUCUCUUUGUUUUGUUUUUUGGAUUUGGUGUUUAUGAAAGACUCAAUAGCAUAUCUUUCUCUUGAAGAUGAGAAAGAAGAGACCAUUCACUUGGGGGUUGAUGUGUCUGAACGUGAAACAUCAUAUGCAAACUGUUAUCUAGGAACAUUUCUUACAUCUAGUGUUGUUAAUUUUCAAGCGAUGAAAUUGACGUUGGCUAAUGUUUGGUGUCCUAUAGGACGUGUUUCCAUCUCGGAUCUAGGGCACGAGCGAUUUCUAUUCCAUUUUUAUUUCGAAGUUGAUGUGGUCAGAGUCAAAAGAAAUGGUCCUUGGACCUUUAACUCUCAUAUUCUAGUAUUACAUCCACUUAAGGAGGGGGACAACCCUCUUUCUAUUCCGUUAUUUUGGGUGGAAUUUUGGACGUAAAUUUAUGAACUACCGCUUGGAUCCAUGUUUGAAACUUUAGCUCGCCAGUUGGGCAGUUUUAUCGGCACUUUUGUUGAGUAUGAUGUAGCAAUAAUUCAAUUGGGUUAUAAAAGAAUAAUGCGGGUAAGGGUGAGACUUGAUGUUAGAAAACCAUUAAGAAUAAGGAAAAAAAACUCACUAUCCCGAAUAGUGAGUCAAUUUUUGUGCGAUUUGAAUAUGAAAAGCUCAUUUUAUUUUGCUUUCCCUAUCGUAAGUUAGGGCAUGGUGAAAGUUUUUGUCCAAUUAGAGCCCAUAGUCCGCGAUAGAAAUAUAUGUUUCGAUGGGCUAUCUCUCUACAGGCCUAGUUAAAGAGAAAUUCGGCUUGGAAGAGAAAAUGGUUGGUGGAGGACAAAAGGGGUGAUGGCUCCAAAUCCGGUAACUCCAUAAAAUUUGCAGAAAUGAUAUAUUAUGGGAUUCCUUAAUCGGGGCAAGUUAAUCAGAGGGCUUAUUCAGGAUUUAUUUCCAAUUAUUCUCUUCUUAUAAAUAAGGUGGUCAAUGCACCUUUAGUUUUAGGCCAAUUAAAAGUAGUCAAUUUAGGUCAAGCGUCUAAAGACUGUGGCAACGAUUAUGACGUAGAUAUGGUUCACUACGAAGAGGAACAUAGCCCAAUAAAACACAGUGAUGGGCUAAAGCGACCCUGGGUUUGGUCAACUCCUUCAAGAGUUUCUUUUCAUGAAGAUUCGAAUGAAGCACUAGGUACCCUGCUACAGGUACCUAACACUAAUAGAUUGGAAGGCCUGCUCUGAACACAAUGAAGCUGCUUAGUUGGAACAUUUUAGGCUUGGAGAGGUUUCAGAUAGUUCGUCGUCUCCAGCAUAUGCUGACAAAUAUCAAUCCCUUUGUAGUUUUCUUAAUAGAGACAAAACUACAAGGUUCUACGAUGGUGGAGGUAAGACGUAAAUGUGGAUUCCUGAAUGGGAUUAACGUUGACUCGAAUGGUAGAAGUGGGGGUUUAUCAUUGGGUUGGCGUAAUGAUUGCAAGGUAUCACGAUCUUUUUCGAUGAGGCAGAUUAAUAUGAUGGUUGAUGAAGAUAUAUAUGGUAAAACUUGGAGAUGUACGAGGUUUUAUAGAGCACCAGAGGAGAGUCAGAGGAAGGCAUCAUGGAAUUUAAUGCACUCUGUGGAUGAUUGUUCCCAUAUCCCUUGGUUGGUUAUUGAGGAUUUCAGUGAAAUAGUUUAUUUGUCAGAAAAGAAAGGAGGGUUACCUCAAAGGUAGAUACAAAUGAGUAGAUUUCAAGAAACUUUUUUCUGAUUGCUCUCUUAUAGACUUGGGGCAUAUUGGUCAAUGCUUUACAUGGGAGAGAGGAUGGGCUUACGCAAAUAACAUUCGGGAAUGGCUAGAUUGUUAGGUUAUUAAUAAAGCUUAGGGUGAUUUAUUUUAGAACUACAAAUUGAAUCUUCUUCCUCAUGCUUUUUCUUAUUAGAGUCCCUUAUUAUUAUAGUCUGAUUGAGGAAAUAAUCGUGGGAAAUACUGACAUUUUAGAUUCGAAGCUUCUUGGUUAUUAAAGGAUACGUAUGAGCCGGAGGUGCUAAAAUUAUGGAAUGAGAAUUUGGGUGAUGUUCCUAAUAGACUAAAAGCGAUUGGUGGGCGUCUUGAUUUGUGGUUUUGUCGUAUUAAAAAUGGGAGAGUUUUAUAAUAAUAAUAAAAAGAUCUUAAGAUGCAAUUCACUCGGUUGACUGAAUCUUAUCGUCCAAUAAGGUAUUGAGUGAAAUUAUUAAUACCAAAUUACCUCUUAAUUUAGAAACGGACCGAGAGGAACUUUAUUGCAAGCAAUGGAAACACAAAAAUAUAGACUUUUUCAUGUCAUUUUUAACUCAAAUUCAUGCAGUUUCAUAGUAAUUCUUGUUGAAAAAUAUAAUAUAAUUAUAAAAUAAUUAAAUUGUACUCAAAUUAUUAACAUAUUAAUUUUGAAUUAAUUUUAUAAUAAAUUUUCAUAAAUUUUCAUUUAUUUUCAACAAAUUUGCAUAAAGAGUAAAAAUUGACUCGACAAAAACUGCUAGAAGCUCAAAAUCGGGAAGCGUUUUUUGACGCAUUGAAGCGAAUUGAUUUUUCAGCCUAAAAUGGUCCAAAUUAUGAAUAUUAAUACAUAAUAUAAUUAACUUUUAUUUUUAUCCAAUUUAUUUUGGGUUAAAUAAUUAUUAUUAAUUAUAUUUGGAAAGGAGUCCCAGUUGUGCUAAUACAAAAGAUUGAUCCAACCGAGCAAUCGGUCUGCCCAAUACCGUCCAACAUGCUGACCCAAUCAGCUCAAAAUAGCUAAUUUAUUAACUUGCGAAUUAGCCCUUUAUGUUUCCUUGAAAUCGCAUUCAAACCCUUCCACUUUCUGUGCUUUUAAAGAUUUGCCCCAAGCUAAAUUUAGCAAAGUUUGAAACAUUCAAACUUUGCUACAUGUGUGGCUGGCCAAGGGGGUAUAUGGCGGCUAAUUUUUUUCUAUUUUUAACAACCAAUCCCACCUAUAAAUACCCCAUUCACCUAUUUAUUAAACACACCUCUCAUUCCACACAUCUCUCUCUCUUUCACUCACUUUCUCUCAUUUGUUUCCCAUUUUCUCUUCUAAUUUCCUUUGCCAAUUUCCCUAUUUGAAGAUAACCCUUCAACCACCUUGGAUAGUAACAUUCAAGUGCUUGUAGAAGCCUCAAUUCAACAGAAUGAGCGAAGAAGGAAGAGCGGAGCAAACUAGUCAGGCUUCAGAGAAACGGCGGAUUUGAUUCUAGUUUUCUAUCCUUUAACUUUUAUUGUUGUUGUUAUGAACAUAUCUAUGAAUAUUUGUUAUGUUUUUAUUCUUAAUUUAAUUAAAAUGACUUAAAUUUAAUUUGUGUUAGGUUGACUGCAUUUCAUCUACUUAAGUUAUUAAAAUUAUGUUUGUAUUGUUAUAGGUCUUAAUAAAUUGUUUGAUUAUGUAAAACCAUGAUUAUGUUAUACUUGCACUAUGAUUGUGAGGUAACUAAUGAAUUAAUUAUUAACCGUAUUGAAAUUGUAAUUCAUUAACACAAUACUCAAUCAGUGCAUGUUUAUUCUUCUAAGGUAGUUGAGGGUUAAAUUAGCGACUAUAUUAAAUGGUACAUUAGUCUUGCAUAACUUACAAUAUUAUUGUGAUUAAACUGUUUCAAUAUGGAAAUACAUUGUUACCUCACUUAAUCUUUUACUUAUUAAAAUUGAUUAAUUGUUUAAAUUGGCAUAGUAAUAUGUUCAAGAGACUAGUUAAUUUAGCAAGUAUGUAUGUGCUAUAGUUAAUAAAUUACCAAGUUACCGUGAAUUUAUUCGUAACAACGUGAAUAUUGUUUUAGUAAUAUUAAGUUAAGAAAUGUAAUUGAUCUAACACAAUUAUGUCAUAUUGAUUAAACUUACUUUUCAAAAAUCGUGCAUUGGAAUUUUUUACCUUUUAAUAUUGAUUAAACUUACUUUUCAAAAAUCGCGCAUUGGAAUUUUUUACCUUUUAAUUGUUCUUAGUUAAUUUACUUAGUUAAAACCUAGUUUUAUUCAACCCUUUUUCAAAGCAAACGAUUUUCCUUCACCAAAGUGUUUUUAAUUGCAUUUCAUAAAUAUUUCUUUACAUAAUCCCUAUAGGUACAAUAACUUGACAUUUACUUGCUACUUUAUUACUUGUUGCAAUUGUGUACACUUGCACAUUUCCAUUGUUUCAAGCAGCGUGCAUGAGCUAACUAGCUAAAAAAUGGUGACAGCAACACAUCCUUUUUUCCAUAAGUUUGCUACAAAAAGAUGUCGGCGAAAUAAGGUUGAUAGUCUUUCGGAUUCUAAUAGUUUGAAGUACAAGAGUAAUGAGGAGAUGUUGUCGCUCGCCACUGAUUAGUUUGACUCCCUUUCACAUUGAAUGGAAUUAGAAAUCUCGAAGCUAUCUUGGAAGGGAUUGCUCCGUGUAUAUCCAGAACGAUAAAUGAGAAUCUUGAACAGGACUUUUCUUAUGAGGAAGUGUGUGUGGCUCUAAAAUCUUUGAAUCCAUUGAAGGCUUUUGGAGAGGAUGGUUUAGGUGCCGUAUUUUAUCAACAGUUUUGGCACAUUGUUGGAAAGGAGGUAGCAGACUACUGUACAACGAGUUUUAAUGGUGGUCAUAAUAUUGCCGACAUAAAUCAAACAUAGAUUGUGUUGAUCCCUAAGGUUAGCUGUCCUACGCUCAUGACUUACUUUCGACCCAUUAGUCUAUGUAAUAUCCUCUACAAAAUUAUUACAAAAAUGUUAGUGAACAGAUUCCAAAAAGUCUUCCACUAUUGUAUAGAUGAGGGGCGAAGUGCAUUUGUCUUGGGGCGACUAAUCAUUGAUAAUAUCAUCACUGCAUAUGAAAUUUUACAUUCCAUGAGGAGGAAAAGAGUUAGGAAUGAGGGGUCUUUUGCUCUAAAUCUUGACAUAAGUAAAGCGUAUGACAAGGUUAAAUGGGCUUUCAUUAGGGCCAUGCUUAAAAGAUUGGGUUUUUCAGAGUUGUGGGUUUAAAAAAUUAUGCGUUGUAUUGAAACGGUAUCUUAUUCAGUGGUUAUGAACAGUGAGGUGGGAAAUUUGUUUCUUCCUUCUCAGGGCCUUAGACAAAAGGAUCCGCUUAGGUCUUAUUUGUUUCUCAUUUGUGGAGAGGGACUUUCAGCUUUUCUUCGGACGACAGUUGUGAAUGGGGAUCUUAAAGGUGUUCCAAUUAACAAGCAUGCCCUUUUAUUACCUAUUCGUUUUUCGCUGAUGACAGUCUUAUUUUUGGGAAGGCCACAACUGAAGGAGCCAUGGCGCUUAAAGAAAAAAUGGAGACUUAUGCUUAGAGUUCAGGACAAUUGAUAAAUUUCGACAAGUCUGGUAUGUUCUUUAGUUCCAAUGUUGUGCGGAGAAACAGAGAGGAGAUUUAUCAAAUUCUAGGUGUUAAUCUGAAUAUGAAUAAAGAAAAGUAUUUGGGGCUUCCUUCGGUUGUAGGAAAAACAAAAAGGAGGCAUUUAGGGAGGAAAAAAGAAAGGCUACUGAAAAAUGUAUCUAGUUGUAGUUCAAGAAUGCUUUCGGUGGGGGGAAAGGAAGUUUUAAUUAAAGCAGUGUAAUAGGCAAUCCCCAUGUAUGCAAUUUUUUUUUUUGCUACCCAAUUCUUUUUGUAAAGAACUCGAAUAUAUUACUGCUAAAUUUUGAUGGCAAAAGAAAGCUGGAAGAAAGGGUUUACAUUGGUGUUCUUGGAACUCAUUUUGUAUUCCAAAAUGGAAUGAAGGUAUGGGUUUCAAAGAUUUAUAUAAGUUUAAUAUUGCUUUACUAGCAAUGCAGGGAUGGUGACUGAUAGAAACUCUAGACUCUUUAACAGUCAGAUUACUUCGAGCAAAAUAUAAUUAUGGGUCUAACUUUUUGGAUACCUUAUUGGGUUCUAACCCAUCUCUGAUUUUGAGAAGUAUAUAGUGCUACAAAGCUUUACUUCAAUCUGAUAUUGGGUGGAGGAUUGGAUCAAGGUUAUCAAUUUUAAUAUCGAAGGAUUAUUGGCUACCGGGGAGGAGUAAAGCACGAGUUAGUAUGAGUAGAGUAGAGGGCUUGGAGUAUGUAAGUGAUUUGAUUAUCCCAAAUCCAACUCGAUGGGAUAGACAACAAAUCUAUUCAACUUUUUUAGAGGAAGGAGGAAAUAAGUUAGUAAGUAUCCCUCUCCCUACUACAAAUCAAUCUGAUAAAACAGCUUGGAUUAGAGAACAUUUUGAUUGGGUACUUAUUCUGUCAAAAGUGGUUAUAAAGCCCUUUUAGAGCCUUCCUAGUUGAGUAAUUUGGAGCAGUUCAAUUUUAAGCAAAUUUGGAGUUUAAUGCCAAAAUUCACAUUUUAUUAUGGAGAUUUGAUAAAAAUUACAUUCCUACUUUUCAAAACUUGCACUUUAGAAGAAUUAUGCACGAUAAUAAUUGCCCGCGUUAUCGGGAUUGUAGUGAAUCGACUGUUCAUGUUGAGCGAGACUGCACGUUUGCUAUGCAGGUCUGGUCAAAGUUAAAUUAUCGGUGGCCAAGUUAUGUUGCAGAUUUGAAUUUCAACGAGUGGUUAAACUAGCUAUUCGUUAAUUCUGCCAGUAAUACUAAAGAGGAAAUUGCCAUUACAAUAUGGGCAAUCUAGUUUGCCCUUAACAAGCAACUGCAUGAAAGAGAAAUGUAAAGUGUGAGGAGGUUAUUACCUUUAUUCGGGGAUAUGGUAGGGGAUUAUAGAGAGAUGUCAUGAAUGUUAAAGCAUCCCAGACCCCGAGCCUUAAUUAAUUGGGAGCCUCCACCUAUGAACUUGGUCAAAGUGAAUGUGGACGUUGGGUUUUCUAAGGCAAAUAAUCGAGCAGUUCAGGGUUUCUAAUUAGGAAUAAUUACGGUAAUUUAAUGGGCUCGAGAUUCAGAAUGCAUAACCUGGUUAGGAUGGUGGUGUUGGCCGAAGCAAUGGCUGUUCUGCAUGGUCUUCAGUUUGCGAGGGAUAUGGGUUUCUCGAGAGUGAUCCUGGAAAGCAAUUCGAAAAUGGUUAUUAGGAAUCUCCAAGCAUCGGAGGAGGAUUAUUCAGAGACAAGGCGAAUUACCUGGGAUGUGAAGACUCUGGCGAGGGGCUUCGCGUCUUGUCGUUUCGAAUUCUUCAAGAGAGAAGGAAAUAAACUAGUGCAUGCAAUGGCGUCUGAAGCAAUGAAACACUCGGAAGAUUCAUUCCGGUUAAAGGAUGCUCAGCUUCGGGACUUGGAACUGGGGAUCUAGAUCAUUGUUUCCACCAACCGUCGUAGUUGCCUCCCUAUUCUGUCUGCAGUUCUUGGGUGAGAAUGUUUGCAACUCUAUGCAUCGAAUCUCAACUCUCUUCCUCUAGUUGAUGGCUCUGUUUGCCAAUCUUGGGAACGUUUCAGGCGGUUUUGGGUUGCUGGUUAUCGAAGGGUUUGGAAGAAGCUCCUGGAUGUGUUUCGUUUGUUACUUUAUUGUUUCUAAUUUGUUUUUUAUCUGACUUUUGUUGGGUGUUGUUUUGCUUUUGUUUGGUUUGGGUUUUGUUCUACUUUUGUUGUGUUUGGGUUUUAUUUGUAAUUUGUUUUGGACUUCCAAGCCUAGUUGAAGCAAAACGGACCGUAUUUUCAAAAAAUAAAAAUAAUUUUACAAUAAUUUUAAAAUAAUUUUAGUAACAAUUAGUUCUAAAACAAUUCUAAGACAUUUGUCACCUAUUACAUGUUGACAUAUCAACAUAGUUUGAUUUUAUAAUUAAAUUAUUAGUGAAACAUUAUAAAAAAAUAAAAUAGAUUCAUAAUUAAUAAGUGCAUUUCAAUUAAUACAUACAAUUAGCUAGUAUCACAUAUAUAUAUACAUAUUAAAUCACAUAUAUUAAAAGGUUUUAGUUAAAAAUGAAAAUAUACACAUGUACACACCCUUUUUAACUUAUUUCCUCCCUAAAUUCUUAAAAUAUUGAGGGCUUCACAAUUUAACACAUCUUCCAAAUAGUAUAGAAAUUAAUUUACUUAAUAACCUUUUUAAAAUUAUCCAUGAAUUUGACUAAUUAUUUUAAAUAUUUAUUAAUUGAAUAUUGUCCACUUAUAUUUUCAAUAAAAUUGAUUAAUUUUAUCUCAAAUCAUAAACUAAUAAUUCAAAUGAAAUUCUCAGUUUGUUUUACUUUAAAGACAAAAGUAAAUUUUUUUAAUUUAUUUUAUUUUUAAGUUAAUUUAAACAUUUUUAGAUGAAUAUAAUUCCUUAUGCCUAUAACAUGGUAAUACUAUUCUUUUAAAAAGUCAUAAAGCAUAUAAGACACAAUAUCUUAAACAAUAUAUCAAUAUAAUAUAUAUAUAUAGACACAUAAUACGCAUGUUCUUUUUUUCUAUAUUGAUUUAUAUAUUAAUUAAUUUAAUUAUUUAAAAUUUUACAAUAGUUCAGAUUUAUGUAAUAACGAAUAACGAUAAUUUUUAACAUGAAUAUAGAUUUGGUAUAUAUGAGCAUUAAUUUAUAUGAAAUUACAUUAAAAAUAUUAAAUUAUGUACUUAAAUAUUUAUUUUUUAAAAUUAACAACAUACGUAAAAAAUACCAUAUAUGAGUUUUACAAUUUCUAUAAUAUCAUAAACUAAAGGGUAAACUAUAAAAAUAGUCACUUUUAUUUGUCUCAGAUUACAUUUUUGUCACUUAUAUUUAAAAUAUUACAUUUUAGUCACUUACGUUAUCGUUUUGUUACGAAGUGGUCACUUUACCGUUAAGCUUCAUUACCUCCCUAACGGCGGUCCUACGUGGCAGUCCAAAUGAGUUUUAAAUGCCAACUUGGAUGUCCUACGUGGCAGUCCAAAUUAAAUUUAUUUAAUUAAAAACCUAUUUUUAUUUCAACAACUAGACAUCCAAGUUAACAUUUAGAACUCAUUUAGAUUGCCAUGUAGGACUGUCGUUAGGGAAAUAACAGAGUUUAAUAAUAGAGUGGCCACUUCGUAAUAAAACGAUAACAUAAGUGACUAAAAUGUAAUUUCAAAUGUAAGUGACUAAAAUGUAAUCUGAGCAAACAAAAGUGACUAUUUUUGUAGUUUAUCCUAAAUUAAUAAUAAAGUAUUAAUAUUUCUAUUUUUUAAAAUUAUUUUUCAAACUUUACAGAUCUUAAAAUUAUUUGAAAUUAAUAUAAUUUAAUAGACAUAUAUAACAAACUCGUGCAUCGCACAAGAUAAAAAUAUAUAUACUACAGCAAUUUAAAGUUACAAUUAAUGUAGAGUCAAGAGUGCCCUCUUAGGUUUCCCUAAGAAAUAGUGAAUACUGUGGUUGGGAAGAAGACGAGCGGUGACUCUGAAACGAUGGAUAAUAGGAACGAGAUUACUCUCCUUAAAGAAGAAUUAAUUCAAUUAACAGCGAAAAGUUCGUUAGUCACUCCAUCCGAGAAUCCGACGCUGAUCUGUUCGAUUUGGACAAGGAAAUCGUAUAAUCUAGACAAUCUGAGAGCGCAAUUAAGGAGUAUCUGGAAAACAAAAAAGAAGUUUGAGAUUCUUAUUACUGGUCAGAAUUUAUUUACAAUUUCUUUCGAAGAUGAGGAAGAUUUAGAACAGAUCUUGGAGGGCCGCCCAUGGUUUUUCCAAGAACAAUUAAUCAUCUUCGAUAAAUUGACAAAACCUGUAGAACGUAAUAAGAUUCAAUUGAUUUUCUCUCCUUUCUAGUUAAAGGUUGCCCCAUGUCCACCUGAGUAUGAUAAGAAACAUUUGAUACAUGCAACUGAAUCUACCUUUAGGGGAGUAAUUCGAGCCGAGAUAAAGAGGGAAUUCUGCCGAAUUAGAGUUAAUUUGAAUAUUCAAAAAUAGCUGAGAAGAGGUAUUUUUGUUUCUCCGAAUGGAAGAGGGAAAAUCUUGUUAUCCUUUAAUUAUGAAAAUCUCCCAACUUUCUGCUUUGGUUGUGGAUGGAUGGGUCAUGGGGUUAAAGAAUGUUUCGAAAAACAAUUUAGAGAAUGCAGUAGGACAGAAGAUGAAUAUCCUUUCUCGCUAGCACUUAAGGCAGAAUCUUCCAUUAUUGGGAAAGAAAGCUUAAUACUUGGCUCACUAAUGAAAAAAUCAAUGAAGUAGUGUUUUUUUCAUAGGGGAAGAAGCGGCGAACAAAGAGGCUGAUCUACUACUGGGAGCGACGUACCUGCCUCACUGGCUGGAGAAGGAAGUGGUUUCGAAAUAGGAUUCUAUGAUUCAGGAAAUGAAAAAUGUAACACCCCUUACCCGUAUCCAAGGCCGGAACAGGGUACGAGGCAUUACCAGACUUAACCAUACACAUAGACGAAAACCAGGCCAUAAAAUUUCAUUUAAUUCAAAACUUUUCGAAUACAUACAUUGACUCAUAUUUAAAGACAUAUAACGUAACAUAAAUGAGCACUUACACAUCCAUAAUCAUGCAAUAACAUGUCAUUCACUUUAAACAUAUUUGCUUACCAUGCUGUAUAUAAUAUACAUUCUUACAUUAACUAGAACUAGACAUGCUAAAUCUUAUUCUCAUUUUAUACCAUCAUAAUGUAGUUACCAAUUUGUCCAUUAAACAUCCAUAUUCAAGGAAACAUUACUCAUUUCCAUUUAAUUCAUAAUCAACUGGCCUGCAUUUAACUUACUGGAUGUAUUACCAAUCAUGCAUAACAAACAAAACUAACUAUAUCAUCACAUCAAAACAUAAAACAUGGCAUGAUUAAUUAAACUUAUAAACCAUAAUGGAUAAAGACCACAUCUCAUGAUCAUAUACGAUAACUCAAUGCAGACUGAUACAUAUGAUCAAAGUCAUAAUAAUAAUACAUAUCACAAACCAACUUCCUAUGCAUGCCACUCACCUGAUAUUUCUAAUAUUUAAAUUAAUUCCCUCAAAAAUGAUAUUUUGAUAGUGUGAUUUUACCUCUGACGAUCUCUAACCCUGAACCGACCUUCCAAUACUAAAGAAAUGGAGAGAAUGGAUAAGCUUUACGCUUAGUAAGUCCAUAUGAAAUUAAUAAGCAAUUACUAACAUGCUUUUCAAGAUAAAAUACUAUAAUUGUACAAUUACACAUGUUUAGGUUAAGCUGUUUUAUCGAGUUAUAGUUACUAAAUCAUUCAUAUAUAAAGCUACAAAACUCUAAAUUUAGUUUUGUUAAUUUUUUUGAAACUAGACUCACAUACCUUUCUCCCAUAAAAUUUUCAAAAUUUUUGGUUUAGCCAAUUAGUAUAGUUUAUUCAUGAAAUUUUCCCCUGUUUUGCUGUCCAAUAGUUCUGACCUCUCUUCACUAAAAAUUAUUUAUCUCAUAUUUCGAAGCUCGGUUGAUGUUCCCGUCCAUUCCUCCUGAAAGUAGACUCAUUUAGGAUUCUAUUCAUAUAAAUUAUAACUCAUAAUUAUUUUUUUACAAUUUUUAACGAUUUUUCCAAGUCAAAACAGGAGAUCUCAAAUUCAUUUUGACACUGUCUCACAAAAAUUAGAAUAUCACAUAAUAUAGAACUAUUUUGCUCCCCCUGUUUCUUUUAUAUGAAAAUAGACUCAUUAAUCUUUAAUUCCAUAAUUUUUUUGAAAUUCAAUUCAACUUACAUAAUAUUUUGUGAAUUUUUAAAGUCACACAACUGCUGCUGUCCAACACUGUUUUACUACUAAAAUUCACUUACAUAAUUUCACUUAAUCCAUUUUGUCUUAUCGAAGUUCACUCAAAUAUCGAGCACAUUGCUCAUAAUUUUCAUAAACAUAUACCUGCAAUUAUUCACCAUAUAAUCAUGUUCAAAUAUAUUUUUACUUAAUCGAUUUUCCCGUUGAACUCUUUGGAAUAAAAACUGAUACUCAGUUGCCUGCACAUAUUUUCACUUGUAGACAAGGCUAUCUAGUACGCAUAGUAGCCUACACUUAGUACUACACAUGCGACCAAUUAUCCGGUACACGUAGUAGUCUGCACUUAGUAUUACACACGUGACCUAACCAUCUGAUACACGUAGUAGCCUGCACUUAGUACUACACACGUGAUCAAAGUUAUCGGGUACGCAUAGUAGCCUACACUUAGUACUACACAUGCGACCAAUUAUCCGGUACACGUAGUAGCCUGCACUUAGUACUACACACGUAACCUCACAAUAGAUCAUUCGUAUCGUUUCUAUUCCAAAGGCUCAACCGGAAAAUUCCUCACUUUCCAGCAUGUUACAUAUUUAUUCAUAGUCCUUUUUCAAUUUGCAAUUUAUAACAAAUAAUCAUUCUAUAGGCAGUCACAUUUCAUAUGAUAACAAAAUAUAAUAAAAUAAAAAAAAUCGAUAAAUUAUUUACGUACAAACUUGUCGAAAUCUCAUCAGGUACAACCCAUAUAAUAGUAAUUUAACAUUCAAUUCAUGUAACAAUAAUUUGCCAUUCAAUUUCACGACACAACAAGCAUCACAUUUUCCAUAUUAUACACACCAUCCAUCAACUUCUCCUAAACAUAUUAAAUCAUACAAUUUAUGCCAUAACAAUAGAAAAUUACAAUUCAAGUAUGGUAUUGCAUUAUUAUUAACACACGAACUUACCUCGUAUACGAAAAUGGCCAUUUUUACCAUUUUAUCUACAACUUAGUAUUUUGUCAAUUUUAGCUCGAAUUUCAAUUUUCCUUGCUCUAUCAUUACAAAUAUAGCCUAAUUAGGAAUCACAUUAUUCAAAAAAUCAUAUUUUGAUAAAAUUAAAAUUUUGCCCCUAAACUUUGUCAAAAUUACAUUUUUACCCCUAGGCUCAUAAAUUGAACUUCAUCCUAUUUUCUUAUGUUUUAUGACAUGCUGGUCAUUUUUCCCUUCUAUAACAACAUCAAAUUCACACUCUAACAUGUACUUAUGAACAUUAGGUAUUUUUACCGAUUAUGUCGUUUUACUCAUUUUCACGUAAAAUCGCUUAGUAAAAGUUGUUUAACACAAUUUCAAGCUUCAUAUUUUACCAUAAAACAUAAAAAAUAAACACAUUUCACCUAUGGGUAUUUUUUUAAAUAUAAACCUUUGGUUAAAUUAUUGCUAGAUUAAGCUUAACCAAGUUACCAGGAUUUCAAAAAUAUAAAGAACUUUAAAAACGGAGCUAAGGAGCACUUAGAAUCGAGCUUGGGAGUUUGAACAAACCUUAACCAUGGCUGCUGCUGGUAAAAAUGGUUAAAUGAAGAAGAUGAUAGCUAAUUUGGCUUAUUUCCCUUUUUAAUUCUUUUAAUUAUUAGUUUACCAAAAUACCCUUAACUUAAAAAUAUUUUAUUACUCAUUUCAUGUCUAUUUUUGUACAGAAAUUAACCAAUGGUCUAAUUACCAUUUAAGGACCCUCAAUUUAAAAUUUCAUAACAAUUGGACACCUCUAGUAUGUAGAACUCAACUUUUACACUUUUUACGAUUUAGUCCUUUUAACUAAAUUAAGUACCCGGAUGUCAAAAUUUUCAAACGAAAUUUUCACGAAAUUAUCCCGUAAAAUCGUAGACCAUAAAAAUAUAAUAAAAAUAAAUUUUUUGUCGUCAGAUUUUUGGUCUCGAAACCACUGUUCCGACUAAGCCCAAAAUUAGAGUGUUACAGAAAAAUUACAAGAACACUCUAGAGAUAACGAUGAAAGAAUUUUGCUGCAAUAUCACCUAUAAAAGGGAAGGAAACUUUAAGAGAUAAUGAUGGAAAAAUCUCGCCUCAAAAUUUACCUAUAAAAGGGGAGGCACAAUUAAACAACAAUUGACACAAUAUUGAAGAUGGCCAAAAGUAAACUCAAUGCAAAUGGGGCUUACAGAAGAGGUAGAUGAAUCUAACACAAGCUGGUUAACACAAGCUGGUAUAAUAAUGAUGAUCAUUUUAAAAUUAAUUCUAAACUUGUGGGACCCAAUAGCCCAAUAGAGUUGCUCCAGUUGGGCCACAAGAAAAAAAAAAUAGGCAUCGUUUAUCCAACAGGGGUAAAAGAGAUUCAAAUAUCGGUGAAUUUAUAAAUGGAAAACGAAAAUUUGAUCAAGUGGCAGAGAUAGCUUCAGAAUCAAAUGUUGAAGAUACAACUAAAAAAGAAAAAUACGACGAUGGGAAUAUGAAAGGUUGUACAACAUUAGCAGAGUCUCAGGUUUUCAUGGAGGACGAUGCUAAAUUUUCAUAAAGUAUAUCAGCGGCUGGCAAAUGGCCAGCUAACCGGGAACAAUGAAAAUCCUUUGCUGGAAUGUCUGAGGAUUGGGGAAUCCUCAGACGAAGGCUUCAACACUCGUUGAAGCUUUAUAAACACCAAAUGGUCUUCUUAAUGGAGACAAAAUUGGACAGCAUUCGAAUGGAACAUUUUCAAAAACGAUGUGGCUUUCAAAAUGGAAUGGAUAUUUCAGCAAGUGGUUCAUGUGGUGGAUUAAGUCUUGCAUGGAAUGGAAAUAAUUUAGUUCAAUUUUAUAGCUAUUCAAACAAUCAUUGAUGUGGAGAUUAAUGAAGAGGAUAUCCCAAACAAGUGGCGAUUCACUGGAUUUUAUAGUAAUCCAAAUCAAUCAAGCAAACAGGAGUCGUGGAAUCUUCUUCGUAGAUUAAGGAAUAAUGGGUCAUCACCAUAGUGUAUGUGGAGACUUUAAUGAGAUUAUGUAUGCACAUGAAAAAAUGGGAGGGAUAACAAAGAAUGAGAGACAAAUGGAGGAAUUUCGAAAAGCUUUGGAAGACUGUGAUCUGGCUGACAUGGGUUUCAGUAGACAAAAGUUUACUUGGGAUAGGGGUAACUUUGCAGAUACAAAUAUAAAAGAACGACUUGACAAGGGAGUUACAAAUCGAGAGUGGCUGAACUUGUUUCCUGAGUACUCGGUUCAACAUUUUUCUCUGAUCAUUACCCAAUUUUCAUCCAAACAAUGCCAAAUGUAAAAAGCACUAGAGGUAAUUUUUUUAUAUUCGAAUCUUGGUGGGUAAUUAAGCCAUCAUACAAAGAAGUCAUCUUGGUGACAGAAGCACUCUAGUAAUGUUUUGGAAAAAUUAGAGUAUACCCGUUUGGGUUUAUAGAAAUAGGCGAAAAACAUCAAAGGAGAUCCUGAAAGGAGAUCGAAGUUUCUAAGAGGUAGAUUGGCUGAACUUGAUAGAAAGGAUAGGGAUGAUGAUAUCCUUGUAGAGAUCAUUGAUGUGAAGUUAGAAUUAAACUGGGAGAUAGAGAAGGAGGAGAUGUAUUGGGAACAGAGAGCAAGAUCGAAUUGGUUGAGUUAAGAGGAUAGAAAUACGACUUUUUUUCAUAGUUAAGCAUUUCAAAGAUGUAGAAUGAAUAGAAUAAGAGGGAUGGAAGUUAACGAAGGAAUUCUCAAAAUAGAAGAAGAAGAAUAUUAGAAAACAUAAUAAGAAACUACUUCAUGAAGCUUUUUGAAUCUAAAGGAGUUGGCGAUACAAAUUACCUUCUUUCAGGUGUUAAUUGCACUAUCACUAAAAGCAUGAAUCAACUGUUGGUAGGAAAUUAUAAAGAGGAGGAAAUAAUUGAAGCAAUAAAUAGUAUAAGGCCGACAAAAGCUUCUAGACCUAAUGGAUUUUUUGCCAUCUUCUUUCAAAAACUCUGGCAUAUCGUAGAGAGGGAGGUAGGUGAUUUUUGUUUGGAAGUUCUUAACAAAGGAAAACCCUCAGAUCUUUUAAACCAUACGAAUAUUGUGCUAAUCCCAAAGAACCCCCAUCCGAAAAGUCCAUCAGAAUUUAAACCAAUUAGCCUUUGUUCGAUUUUUUAUAAAAUAAUCUCAAAAUCUAUAACAAACAGGUCCCAAAAAUUACUCGAUUAUUGUAUUGAUCCGACUUAAAGUGUCUUUGUACCGGUAGAUUAAUUACCGGUAUGCCCUUCUUGCAUAUGAAAUUCUACAUUCUAUGAGGAAUAAAGGAUUGGGAAAAAAGGUCUUACGGCUCUUAAGAUUGAUUUGAGCAAAGCCUAUGAUCGGGUGGAGUGGGAUUUCUUGAAGCAAAUGAUGGCUAAAAUAGGAUUUGAUGAGUCUUGGAUUCAGCUUAUUAUGAAAUGCAUCAGCAUUGUUUCGUACUCGAUCAUUUUGAACGAGAGGCCAUGGAAGGUUUUUAAUUCGGGAAGAGGCCUAAGUCAAGGGGAUCCUUUGAGCCCUUUUCUAUUUUCUCAUAUGCAGUGAGGGGCUGUCUACAUUAUUAAGACUUGCUAGUGAAGAAGGAAUAUUGAGAGGAGUAAAAGCGAGUAAAAGAAGCUCACAGAUUAUUCACCUCCUUUUUACGGAUGAUUGUGUUUUAUUUGGGGAAGCAACUGAAAAAGGUACAGAGACUUUUGAAAAGGUUUUAAAGGAAUAUGAAGUAUGCUCAGGGCAAUGCAUCAAUUAUGGAAAGUCGAUAGUUUUCUUUAGCUCAAAUACAACUGAAAUAAUUCGUUCAGCUAUUUCAGAUAGGCUGGGGGUCAAAUGGAAAAACAAUUUAGAGAAAUAUCUGGGCUUUCCGAAUAUGGUAGGUAGGAGGAAAAGGCUAGCAUUCCAACACCUUAAAGACCAUAUUAAAGUAAAAAUUGACUAUUGGAGUUCUCGAUUACUAUCGCAAGGGGGAAAAGAAGUUUUUAUUAAAGCUGUGUUACAAGCAAUUCCAACCUAUACAAUGGGAUGCUUUUUAUUACCGAAGUCAAUAUGUGAAGUUAUGGAACAAAUAAUAUCCAAGUUUUCGUGGAAAAACGGUUAUGGGAAAUGGGGGAUACAUUGGUGCUCAUGGAAUAACUUAUACGAAUUAAAGGAGUUUGGUGGUCUUGGUUAUCGUAAUUUUGCAAAGUUUGAUUUCGCCAUCCUCGCAAAGCUAGGAUGGAGAUUGAUUGAAAAUCCUAAAUCUUUUCUAGCACAGACGUUAAAAGCCAAAUAUUACCAGAAUUUUGAUUUUCUAAACUCAGAGCUAGGGAAUUUACCUUUAUAUACUUGGAAAAGUAUAUGGGCUGCAAAAGGUCUUUUGCAAACAGGACUAUGCUGAAGGGUGGGCAAUGGAUGGAAUAUUAGAGUUGAAGAAGAUGUAUGGGCUCCAAAUGGAAAAAAUCUGCAUAUUCAACAAUUAGUCAGAAGCCAAAAUAUAUUGAAGGUAGCAGACCUGAUUGAUAGCAACACUAGAUCAUGAAAAACAAAGCUAAUUAAAGAUACCUUUUCUGAAGAAGAUGCUCAGAGAAUUCUCCAAAUCCCAAUAGCUUACUCUCCACAGGAUGAUUUUCUGGCUUGGAGAGGUGAAUCAACAGGCGAGUACAUGUAAGGAGUGGGUAUAAAUUAUUAUUACAUGGUAAUUCUAUCAAUAACAAUAGAUACAACCCGAAUGAAAAUAGGAAAUGCUACAAAAAAAUAGUGGAAUAGUGAUCUCCCCUCAAAAUUAAUAAUUAUAGCUUGGAGAGCCACUCUAAACUACCUUCCUACAUUAGCAAAUCUAAGAACUAAAAGGUUAAUUAUUAAUGAAUCCGUCUGCCUGAGGUGUCUGCAAGGAGUGGAGAAUAGAGAACACGUCUUCCACGAAUGUGUUGUCUUAAAGGAAACAUGGGAUAACUUAAAAUUUGUCUGGCCUGAGGAUACAUCUACUAUGGAAUUCAUGGAAUGGUUUACCUGGAUUGUAUUAAACAGUAAUACUGAUAUCUGCCAAACUUUUAUUUGCACCAUCUGGGUUAUCUGGUCUGCUAGGAACAAAUAGAUUCACAAAGGUCAAAAAAUAUCAGGUGCCGAAACAACAAAAUUUACUUUAAAGUACUUACAAGAUCUAAACAACAUUAAUCGAAAAAAGCUUACCUUUAGUCCAAUAGUUGCAAAAUGGAGGCCUCUGGAGAAGGGUUUCUGCAAAAUCAAUUUUGACGCAACAGUUGACCUCAAAAUGCAAAGAUCAUGUUUGGGACUCAUAGUCAGAGAUUGGAGUGGGGAAAUCUUAGCCACAAAAACCAUAACUCAUGAGAAUAUACCUUUAGGGUUUGUAGCCAAAGCCGUUGCAUGUUUACAGACGGUUAUACUAGGCAGGGAUUUGGGAUUAAAAUUUGUCGAUAUUGAAGGGGACUCCUUGACAGUGAUAAAAAAAGCCCAAAACAAAAGCAGGGAUAAAUCGAUAAUAGGUGCAUACAUUCAAGACAUUCAAAAACUGAGUAAGAUUUUCUAUGAGAGCAAGUUUCAUUAUAUAAGACGAAAAGCAAAUGAGAAAGAGCACGAUCUGGCAUCAAAAGGCUUAAAAAUGGUAGGAAAUGCUUACCUUGCUCACAAAACAGUUGAUGAAGGAAUCACAGAAGCAGAGAUAGAUCGGGGAUGGGGAUGAAGAAUACCAAAAGGUUUAUGAUUUAGAGAAGAAAACUUAAUUGCUACCAGUCUUUUGUUCUUCUCCAGAAGCUGUUAAUGAUGAAUGAGAUAUUUUAGAGAGAUUUCUAGAAAACACCAGCUCAUUAAUACUGGGUUGUCU
Molecule: long non-coding RNA, 22938 nt
Filed under: Gossypium barbadense (sea-island cotton)
Lineage: Eukaryota; Viridiplantae; Streptophyta; Magnoliopsida; Malvales; Malvaceae
Description: long non-coding RNA (GBAR_LNC005292)
Source: RNAcentral